This is a non-coding RNA of Odocoileus virginianus texanus, 735 nucleotides long. The record is from RefSeq and is a predicted model, not a curated record. Lineage: Eukaryota; Metazoa; Chordata; Mammalia; Artiodactyla; Cervidae.
GGCAAACACUACAGUGUGAGCAUCUCCCUGUCCCCCAACAAUUGAUGGAAAAACCAAGGCUUGGAAAAAAAAAUCAAAGGCACAUUGACUCACCCCGGAUAAACUCAUGUCUUCUACAGAGCAAAGCAGAGAAGAGAGGAAGAGGAAAAAUGGCUUUUCUCACAGGAGAUAGUCAACAGAUAUAUUAAGAAGCACCACAUGAGUAAUUUGAGCUUCUGUGAUUUCUGUUUCUUACUUUUCUCCAUGCUUUGUUAGGUGGCAAGUAGGAGAGCCAGCAUUUGAAUCUUCCAGAAAUUCAGUAUCUGCUUCCUGGAUAAUUUCAUGUAUGAUCUAACACUGAGAACAUUUGCCCUAUUUCUUGUCCUGUAAAUCUGAAUUCUUCUGAAUUCUGUUUGUUAGUGCUUUUGUUGAUAAGAAAGAAAGGUAAGAUUUUAAGGUACUAAGUGUCUAUCCAUUUGAAAAGGAAAAGCAAACCAAAAUUCAUAUCUGGGUUCAGGCUAGAUUUUCACAUAGCUAGCUCUUUGGAGACAUUGCCCAUGAAGAACAAAACUGUAUGGAGUGACAUUUGGUCACCGACCUCACUGAGAGUACUUCUGGGGCCUUUAAUCUACGGUAGCAACAAUCAUGUUUGACCACAGUUAGUGAAGCGUUUCCUCUUUUACAUUCAGUUAUGUGACCAGUGAAAUCAUUUAAUAAGCUUUGUCCUGCAGCCCAUGAUAUAUAAGUCCCGUGUGA